Xyrichtys novacula (pearly razorfish) is the source of this 15210-nucleotide non-coding RNA. The record is from the annotation of a GenBank genome assembly. Lineage: Eukaryota; Metazoa; Chordata; Actinopteri; Labriformes; Labridae.
CACACACAUACACAACUCAGAAAUGGCAUUUUUUGCACAAGAUAACUCAAGAACUCAGUAUCUAACUUGUGUUCACUACACAGUAGCUCAUAUGCGCAACAUACAAACUUUGGGACUAAAAAUAACUUUCUUACAAAAUUAGUAAUCACUUUUGGUGAUUUUUGGUGAUUUCAUUCUUGACAAUAAAACAAAACCUUUAGUUAAAGUUGAAGCGCCAAAAGCUGUAGCUCCCUGAGUGGCCACUAGGGGCAUGUUCCAAAAGUAAGUCUGUCUCUAUUUGGUUCCAUGUUAAAAUUUACUACACAGUUAAACCUGUCUGAAGUCAGAUAGAAAAACGGUUCUGGUCACUUUAUCUUAUUUGUUUAUUUAUACUCAUCUGUACAGAAAUUCUGAAAUUUAAUAAGCCACAUAAAAACCGCCACGAAACACUGAACCGCUGUGUGUGUUGAUGAGAAAUAAAUAAAGCCCUCUCUUCCUGACGCUCAGUUUAUUUUUUUAAUCAUUGUGACUCUAUCAUCUCAGUAUUUUAUUGAUGACCAUCAGCCCCCCCGGCACUGAGACAGAUUCCUGUCUGUCUUUGAACAAGGUCGUCUUCGUAUAACAGACAUUUUAUUUCUGCGUCCUCGAUGGCGAGCUGAAGAGCGCAGAGGUGUCGGCACCUCAUUUAGGUUUAUAAAUGAUGAAGCAGGCGUCCGCGCUUAGAGGAUGUCCUCUGCUUCCAGCUCGCCAAAAUACCUCAGUUCAUUUACAAACAAAUAGAGUCUACUGUCUUUUUAUCAGGGAUAUUAAAUGAGGAGUUGGACACAGACUUACAGCUGAAUGAUGAUGGAAACAAUGAAAAUGUCACAUAUCUGCUUAAGUGUUAUACAAACACCAAAACCAGCUCUCUAAAUACUGGCUUUAUAAGGCAUAAUUUUUUUGCAUUUUAAUUCACAAACUCUUAAUGUUUAUGUGUCGUUUUGCCUGAUUGAUAGAUUUUUUGGUAGACUGAAGAUGGACCUUCCAUCAAUCUCUUAUUUCCUAAGUCCAGGGCCACCAUUUCCCCUCUCCUUUAUCCCCUGUGUUGUUAUUUUUGGUGCACCUGUGAUGUUUGAGCUUUGGAUUGAGUGUAAAAUUCCUGCUUUCACCAAAAGCUGACAGAAAUGUCUGCACCAGUGGGGGAGAAAUAUGAAAUAUGUUCCUGCUCUUGCAGACCAAAACCUAAGCCGUGAAAUUCUGAAACCAAUUUCCUCAAAUGCAUCCAAAUAUUUACCUGCAUAAAUUGCAUAUGUAUGACUUUUUAUCUGAAAAGCGCAGAGAUUGAGCCGUCCUGAGUGUGCAGGAGCUCCAUGUGUGCUCAGGCUGAAGACUCAGACUGCUCGGUGCACCAUUUCUCAUGUAAUCUGUGCAAAAAAAGGUUUCCAAAAUGCAGAAGGAGAAAUUAAACGGCGUCUGUUUGCACAAACGCUCUGUGGUAAACAGUUUUUCACUCCUGCUGAAGGAAAAUUUUGUUUUAACCUGUGAAUGACAUUCGGAUUAAGGCUAAAAAUCACAGAUAAACAGCCCACAUCCUCCUACGGUGUGUUCCAGUGUGUGUCUGCAGUGUAUGCACGAUUAUAUGUGUAAACAUGUGUGUAUGUGUGUGUAUGUGUGCAGACUUUAAUGCAUUUAUGUGUGUUACUUUUCUUUGUUGCUGAAUAUUAAUGUGUCAUUUGGUGGAGCCGUGUUCGGGCUGUUCAUGUUUUUUAGAUUGUGUCAAUGUCUAAUACUCAUCCAUGCAAAUCAAAUAUGUUUGAAUUAGAGCAUGUGUGUGUGUGUGUGUGUGUGUGUGUGUGUGUGUGUGUGUGUGUGUGUGUGUGUGUGUGUGUGUGUGUGUGUGUGUGUGACAGACAGACAGGAAUGCUGGGCUGUGAUUUCCCUGCAGGCUGUUCUUGCAUUUAACUGUGUUCGGCCCACAACAUUCACAUGACAUAAAUUAUUCAUAACAUCCACCGACUGUGAGUGUGUGCGCCUGUGUGGGUGAGUGUGUGUGUGUGUGCAUAACCAUAUGUGUGUGUGUGUGAGAGAGUAACUGUAUGUGUGUUUUGGAUUGAUUUUAAGUUAAUAACUCGUGUAUACGGCGGGCUGUUGGAGCGUUUUCUUUAGUACCUCGUUUUUUAAAAAAGCGUUGGGCUUUAAACACACAUACAGAUAUUAAAUCUAAAACUCUCCAGAGGUGUGACGCAUGUGAGUGUGUGCGAGAAUCAAUAUGUAGCUGCAGGUUUAUUUCAUGGCUGCAGAUGCUGGGGUGCUGGACGUCUGCUGAAAAUGAUAUUUAAGAAUGAAACACACACACACACACACACACACACACACACACACACACACACACACACACACACACACACACACACACACACAAAAGUGAUAAAAAGACACAGAGAGGGGAUUUAUGUUGAUGGAAAUCUACGUUUGAAUCCCUCAGUCAGAGGCCCAAAUUCAUGAAACAUUCUCAAGUGUGAACAUGUAUAAUAAAGGUAGAAAUCUAUUAUAUAAACAUCAUUCAUCAUUCAUCAAGAGUAUAACUCAGUCAUAUUAAUAAUCUUUGAACAGCCAGUGGAGAAAAUUAGAUUUAUAAUUAAUGUUGAAAGUAAAGAAAGGUGUUUCAGCCUUUAAAGAAUGAAAACUAGAUCAUUAUAUUAAUGCAUUUUGAAAAAAUAUGGUUAAAAAUGAUUUUACAGUUGCUGCUGUGGUUUACACUUAGAUGAUUUACUUAAAGGGCUCUUUUAACCUGUGCUAAUUCAUGAAGCUAUUUGCAAUCUAAGCACUCCAACAAACUCAGGAUUACAUUGGGAUGUCUGGUGAAUCAUGAAUUACCCCCUGAUGUUGACGCUGGGUGUGGUGCAUUUGCACGGGAUAAGCAAAGUCUGUGAUUUAUUCAAAUUUACCGACAUUUCUUCACAAGAACAUUGAAGUGCUGCACAAAAACCCACCUUAUUUCUGAGGACAGUGUCAGUCUCUUCAGCAGCAGCCAGCAGGAAAAUGAUGAAAUGGAGAAGACAUCCAGAAAGCAUUAAGCUUUAAAACAUUAGGGCAUACUGUAUAAAGUGAAAGAAAAACUUCUAUGAAUUUUACAACAAAAAAGUGAUGAAUUUCAACUUGUUUUUGUAUGCAACAUUGCUAAGAAAAAAAGACUAAGACAUGUGCCUGCAUAUUCAUUUUUGAUAAAGUAUAAUGCAUAUGUUGCAGGCUAUCCUUUGAGCGUCAAGGAUUCUGCAUUUUAUCUGUAUUUUAAGUCGACCUAUUAAUAUUUUCUAACCUUCAACAAUAUUUACUUUGACUUCUUCUUGUUCUUGUUCUUGUGGGAUGUGGGAGUAGGGGAUCUGAACUCAGCCCCUAACAUGCUUCGAUUUCAAAAACGCCUCAGGACAGAUACUCAGUUCACUGCGCUUUCAGCUACAUUGUUAUCUUCAAGUCUCAAGGCUGAAAUCUACUGAAAGGUUGAAAAAUGAAUGCCUGGGAAUGAGAGCAAAUGCACUGAUUGGUUUGAUUUGUGAUACGCAUAUAAAACAACUUUGAAUAACUGAGCCUUUUUGCACUUUGCACCCUACUUAGCAUCCAGACUGUGCGCAGCCUGACUAGCAACAUGUGGUCACACCAGUGAAAGUUGGCCAUGUGCUUUCGACCGUGCAAAGAUGAAAUAGGGCCCUUUGUGCAUGAAGCAGAAGAGCCAUACAGAAAGCCCUGUAAAGAGAUAUGAAACAUGAUAGAGGACAUGCAAGAUGACUAAUAAAAGAUAAUCAGGACAUCUUAAGUGUUCGAAAGGAGAUGCAAAUUGGCCAGAGAGAAGAUAAUGACUCCAAACAUACUAAAAUAAUCCAAAGAGAUGCAAAGUUGCAGAGAGACAAUGAAAAAUUUGUUUAAAAUGUCAGUAAACACAAAAGUAAAGGCGCAAAAAUAUGCAAAAUGACCACAGAAAUACUAAAAAUGACGGGCAAGGGAUGCACAAUUAGCAAAAUGACAACUGAAAUGAUCAACGGAAGAUUGCAGAUGACCAAUAUACCUAAAAAACCCUCAAAUAUACUGUAUAGUCUAAAAGAAGAGCAAAAGAAUCAUAACAUGACUGAAAAUCAUGGAAAAAAAAGACCUAAACAUCCACAAAGAAACUAAAUCAGUCCAGGGAUUUGCAUGUAUAAUGACCGGGCGGUUAUACUUGUAAGUGCACAAAAAAUAGAUACAGGGAUAUAAUGUGCUUCUUAGGUUGUUAUUUUCAGCCAUCCAUAAGAUUUAUGUCAAAACUAGAAGAAAUUAAAGCAUAAAAAAUAAACGAAGACAAGUCUUACAGAAUACAUGAUAGUAAUUGCAUGAACUGUGCAUGUACUUCUACAGGGUUUGUAUCCAAAAAUGAUAAAAAACUGAAAAAGAAGAGACCUGCAGAAGUAGAAAAAUCCAGAGAAUUAUGGGUCUUUUUCUGCAAAGACUCUUAGAUCCAGAGCUCUAUGGAUAAUCAGGCAGGUUUAGGAAAUGAUUUAGUGGCUCUGCUGUGAAUUUGACUUGAAUUCUCAUGAUGUGUUGAAUAAUGGAAAUCAUAUUCUCAUUCUGUCUCGACAUGGACAGGGUUAGAUUACUAGUUACUGUAGUUCACCGUUAUUAGAUCUGAACCAUCUCACACAGUCAAACUUACUCUACAGUUUUCCCCUCAAAUAGAAAUGACAGAAAAGUCGACGCCUACACCCAACAAUCCAUCUUAAUGAUCGCUCAUCACAUUAAAUCUGCCGACAGCACAAUAAAAAAAAAACCUCCGGCUCUAGUUUGAGUGGGAGAAAUCUGCUGAAACAAAAAACACUUUUCAGACCACCAAAUAAAAAUAUAACCAAAAAAAAACAAAACUUUUUUUUCCAACAAUAAUGAUGAUUAAUGACCUCUGGAUGAAUAACAAAAUAAUAUUUUUAAAAAGUGCCUGUUGAUGUUUUUGCUUUCUUUGGGGUUUAAGAAUGACUAAACUAAUACUCCACACUUCCACACUGAAAGCUGACUUUGUUUUCACUUGAUAUGAAGUACUGGAUACGCAGUUUUCAUGAUGUUGGCAUCUACUCUGUUUGUCAGUCAUGCAGCCGUGACCUCUGACCUUUAUCGCUCUUCCACUUGACUGUUUGAAAUGUCAGUGACUUCAGGAGUUCAACUGUCAGUGAGGCCAAAGAAAGACAGACAACCGAGGGGAAAGAAGUCGCCAGAGUUGUGAUAUUUGCUUGACUGUAAAUGGUUAUUUUCCUGAAUUUGUUUUUACUGCCUGUUAUUUUAUCAUUUAAGACUCAUUAAAGAGCAGUUUUCUCAGUCAUCACUCGUAUAAGAGCUAAACAACAACCUGAAGCUCCUUUUUCUUUUCUUUCUUUCUUUCUUUCUUUCUAAAUGAGCCCAACUUUAGGGGUCUCUACAUGCCCCAAGGGGUGAGGAGGGUCAAGUGUCUUGCCCAAGGACACUUAAAGGGAUAUUCCAGCGUGAAAUUAAUUUAGGGUCAAACACACCGUAACAGAGUUAGACACCCCCUUGAGAGAUUAAUGUUGCCGACCGCUUGCUUCUCUAGUUUUACCAACUUUAGUGAUGACCGCACAAUAGCAAUACACAGCGGUCUGAGGAGCCAUAAACAAACCUCAAUUAAAACGCCACUCUAUAGCCACAAAUAAUGCUCAAAACAGCACCUAACUUCAACUCACCUACUCUCUUCCAGCAGCUGCUUGUUUGUAGCAAGACCUUGUGCCAGUCCAUUACUGACUGCUGCAACAUUCAUCUCUCGAGGGGGUGUCUAACUCAGUGUAAUUAAUUUUAAUUAAUUUUACUCCUAAAUAUUCCUUUAAACAUGUGGACAGCUCUGGGAACGAACCCCUGAUGUUCAGAUUGGGAGAUUACUGACUCUACUAACUGAGCCACAGCCACCCCUGAUGUACAGAUGAACCAGAUGAGGCCUUUCACAGCAGCAGUCAGAACAUCAUAAUGUUUGAACUCCCUUUAAGAUGAGACAACUUGAAAUAUUGUAUAUUUCUCACAAAAGUAAGAAUCCUUUUUUACAGUCCGUGAAAUCACAAGUUUUUCAGCGCCUCCUUACCUUCCAAAACUCAACCUCUCAGUAAAAGUGUUUCCUGUUUUAUUUUGUAAGUCUUUUUUCUUGGUGUGUCUGGUCUAACUUUACUUCCUGUUCCCUCUCGUUGUCUCCACCUGUGCUUUGUUGUCUCACCUGUGCCUCAUUGCUUGUUACCCAGUGUGUUUAGUCUCUGUGUUUUCCCCUCUUUUUUUUAUCAGAUCACAGUCAAACCCUCCCAUGUGUUUCUGCGGAUUUCCCUCCAGCUCUGUUGUGGUUUCUCUCGUGUUAUUGGAUUUUCACCCAGGACUCUGUCACAGUAAGCCUUUUGUAUUUUUUUCCCUCUGUGGUUUUUUGUUGAUAAAAGGUGUUGUUGUCUGCACCUGGGUCUAUUUGCUUUGUUGAAAUCUGACAAGAGUGGGCUAGUUAUGUAACACUGAGCUGUGUAAUAGCUCUACCAGUCUUAUUUUGGUGUCUCAACUGGUUUAAACUUGGACAUACAAGUACUUCAUAGAUAUUUGUUGGAAGCUUGAAAACAGACAGUACCAGUCUAACAAGGACGUGUGGCUACACUAGCUUUGGAGCUACUACACAAGCAUUGUUGGAGCUAAUUGCUGAUCAGUGUGUGAGCCUCUUCUUCUUCUUCAUACUUUGACUUUUUAUGCUAAAGUUGAAGUGAUGCUGUGAGAGUUUUCUUUUUUCAUUGUUUAAAAAAUAGACUGAAACUGAGACUGAUGCCUCUUUGUAACUGUCAUAAGCAAUCAGGACCAUCAGCAAUAAGAUUGAUAACUUCUGUGGCAAAAAAAGAACAAAAAAAACCUCAUUCUGAAUGAUUGAUGUGUUAGUUAAAAGAUAACAGGAUGAGCUUUUUGUCUGGAGAGACUCUCACAUGUACAGGACAGGAGAUAAGAGUUAUCACUAUGUCCACAAGGGGCACCAGAACCAACACAAAAGUUCAUCAAAAGUUGCUCUUUAAUAAUCUCAGUUGGUUGGUUUAGUUAAUUGCCUCAGUGUGUACAUGGUUUUCAGUUCUUUUGUAGCCAGCCCCAAGUGGGCACCUGAGGAACUGCAGUUUUAGCUCGUGAUGAGCACAGUAGUUUUUUUAGAUGUACUGAAUCACUAGAAUCAGUUCGCUUUUUGUUUUUUUUGUUGUUGUUUUUUUUUGUUUUUUUGUGGGGUUUUUUUUGUCUUUCCUUUUGUCUCACAUUUAAAUGGGGUAGGCGCUAUAAACUCUUAGCUUCAGCCUUUACCCUUUUGGCCAAACAGUAUGAUUACUAACUAUAUAACUAAGUGAGAAACGAACGAAUCACUAGAGGAAGUAAUUCAGUUCAGUAUGUUCACUUCAAAGAUUUGGUUCUUUUGAAUGAAUCGUUCGCAAAUGACACAACACUCGUUUUAGCAUUUCCACAUUGGCUUUAAUUUCAGACUGGAGGUUGCAACUUGAUGCAAACAUGAAAAGCCAAGGCAGGUAGAGCAGCAGCAAAGACCAGAGAAAGCAUCAGUGACCAUCCAUAGGACUCUGUUAAAAUCAGAGAGCAUCAAAGAGGAGCUGGAGUGGAGGUGAGCCGUAGAGGAAGCAGGAAGAGUAGGCAGGCUGUAGAAGUUUGAAUGGAGCGCCAUUCAAUUUGACAUUUACCACUUAGAUGCAUAGAAGGUUAUUGAAUGACUUGUGAGCUGAUACAAGCUGGCAUUUGGGUCAGUUAAUGUACCUGACCUUACAGCCUGCCUGGACUUGCACUUCGCUAAAAAUCUGCAUUCUUGUUCACCCUUUUGUGUGAGAGUGGCAGAUGAUUGACAUCGACCGGAGAACUGCAAAAACAACAGUCUUAUGAGGGGCAGCAGAUAAAAUCCCUCUUCAGCUGUUUCUCUCUAAUUUCAGCCAGACUUUACCGCCUGGAAGGAUCGGAGCCCUUCCUACGAGGCCAAAAUGUGUGUUUGUGUGUCUGUUUUUGUGUCGAGGCUGCAAUUUUUUUGUUUUGUUUUUGAUGAGAGCGCUCCGAGAAUUGACCACAGCUGUCACACAGCUGAGACCGUAAUCCUGCGUCUAUGAAUGUGCUUUUGUGCAUCUCUGAAUGUGUGUUUGUGUCUGUGGAUGUGCGCUUUGUGUGUGUCUGUGGAUGUGCGUGUAUGUGUAUCUGCUUCAGUGGGUUUCUGAUGGCGUAACCUCGACUUGUAUUGCAGAUGACACUGAAACCUUUUUAAGCUGUCAGCCUCAAUAUCUGGUCUUUACAGGAGCGGUUAAGAGGAAUAUGUGUGUUUUUUUGUGCGUGUGUGUAUGUGUGUGUGCGCGCGUGUGUGUGUUUGCAGAUUGUAUUCCCUGUGACAGUACAGCAGAACCAUAAAUGGAGUUUAAAUUUUAAAUGACCUUUGCGACCUCAAACCCUUUCUCUUUUACAUUUGGCACACUCAAACACACAUCACACACAUCCCCCCCACAUACACACAUACACCCAUACACACAUAGAGUCCAUCUCCCAGCAGUAUGACAGCUGUGGUCAUGACCUCAGAUGCACAGAAGCGUUUCCUCAAAACAACCAAAAUCUGCUGCAGAGACAUGCAAAGUAGAAAAGAGGAAAAGAUGGAAAAAGUUCUCCAACUUCAACUCUUAACAAAAAACUUUCUAACUGCACCAAAACUCCCCUCCAAAGCCACAUGAUUGGACUUAAAUCUUGGUGUAUACAUAGUUUCAGGUGCUUCCGCAGACAGCCUCAAAAGGACUUCCAUAUCGGCUUCACUUCUCAAGACCAGAUGUUACCACUAAAUCAAAUGAAGGUCAGUUCAUGUUCUCACUUUAAACAAACUGUAUCUAAGUCCAAAGAUAAGUGGACCUGUUGUUUGGUCCACACCAGGGUUUGACUGACAGCUUUUAAACUCUGUGGAACAAGUGGAAUCACUAACAAUCAGAAGUAUAAUUUACCUCCUGUCACUGUAAUGGUUGCUGUAUAUAUGAUUUUACUGGGACAAUGAAGAAAUGAGGCAGCCGGUGCAGCUCAGAACUGUACAUGAUGCCUGUUUACUUUACAAAGAAACGCUGCCAUGCACAGGACGUGUCUUUACGUUGCCAUGGCGAUGGAUCUUUCCAUUUUCCGGUUGAGUGAGGAGGGCGUCCCAUACCCGCCCGUCUUGUUUAUACCCUCCCAUUUCAAUUGAGGCACACUCCACAGCUGCGAGUGUAACUUCAUUACGAGUGACACUCGGUAGUGAAGGGCGAGUGUGUAGGGGGCGGUUUGGGAUUGGGCCCAAGUCACCUUUUUUCACUCUUCCACUCUAUCGUGCUACAAACAGGAUAACGUGUGAAGUCCAUAGACAGACACAAUACCACCAGUUUCCUCUCUUUUUCCCACAGUCCAGAUUUCUAAGUUCAGUUUAUGACACCUCUGCUCACCUCUAGUUAAUUUGGCCAACAUUAAAUUCAUCAGCGGUAAAGGUCUUUUUCGUAACCAUGCGGUGUCAUGAUUUAAGUCUACAAGUAGAGAUUUUAAGCAGGAAAAUGUCAUGUAAGAUGUAUAAAUGAAAAUGGAUUAAUUCCUUGAUGAAAUAAGUUUAAAGUAGGGUAGAUGAUUCUGUCAGAUGGAGAGGCUUAUUUUCUGUAAAUCUGGUUUAAUCCAUUUUAAAGUAAGGUUGACAUUCUGAAUGUGAGGUUGGUUUCAGCACCAUGGACAGCGUUGUGGAUUGUUGACGACAGCAUAGUUGGUGACUAGUUGGUUGAAGCAGAAAUUCUUUGGACUAGAUCCAUAUAUUAAAGUUCAGAUUAACUAGAAAAUCUAAUUUCCAUAUUGCACACACAAUGCCCUGACCUCAACGGGACAUAUUCGGGUUUUUUUCCUUUUUUUUGAACGUGAAUAAUGAUGAAGGUUAUCUCAUCGCCCACUCACUGUUCAAAUUAGUGUCAGACAUUUUUCUUGACCUCUGACCUCUGUAGAGAGCCAGAGGGUUAGAUAUGAUCGCAAACUGUACACAUGUUUAUUUUCUGGCUCUUUUUUUUUCACCUGCAGGUCACAGAGUUCGAAUAUGCUGACCUGAAACAUAAAAACAUGAUAUAAUUUAGAAAGACUGACAGAUUCUAAAAAGCACCUCGAGGUAAUUCAGGAGGCUGGAGGUCAGAAAACAUGAUUCCUGAGUGCUUUAUCCUGACGCCUACAUGUAUGGCAUUGAUGUCAUCUAUUAAACAUGAAAGGCUUUCUGCACUGACAGGACUCAGAGAGGCUGCAAUCUGCUCUUUUAUUUGUGGGUUUGAGAGAUGACAGAGGGACAGAUCCACAAAAAAGGACUGAAUAGUGUUUUGUGCAAACCAAACCUUUGCAAAUAAGACAAAAAGAUUGAGAUGAAUUCACAGAGCGAGAGGUCAGGUCCUCAAACUGUGCUGCAGAGCAAAUUUAAUCUCCGAGCGCCAGUGUUGUUUGCAUUCAUCCAUAUGAGCCAUUAUGCAUUUUUUCAGAGUAAAAUAAGCCUUUUUAUGUGCAAAUGAACCGAGAAUGGCUUCAUGCUAUCAGAGUGAAUUAGCAAUGUCCAGACUGACCUGCUCUCUCUGUGUUUGCACGGUUUCUAAAGUCUGGCACACACUAAAAUAUGUUCAAAAUCUUCAUCAAUAGAGACUCCACACAUGGAAACAGAUGCUGAAGUCGUGAUUGAAUUUCAGCUCCUUCCCAGCGCUGCUAAUUAAGCAAACACUUGUGUUGGCGUCGAGUAUCAACAAGCAUUUGUUGCUUUUCCUUCUAGCGGCUGCUUGCUUUCUGAUCAGCUGUCGAGUUUUUCCUCAUGACAUUAGACAGAGUUCAUUGCCAAUCAUCCUCAUUGAUCCUCUCAUACUCAUGGAUUUGUGAUUGUAAAUAUUGAACAUAUUUAUGAUUUCAAAUCAGUGAAGAUUCAAUUGUUUUCUAUGCAGAUUUAAGGGAAAAGAAAUCCUUUCUGACCACGGGAUAAUCUGAGAAAAUUAUCAUCAAAUUUAUCUAAAAAUCAGGCUUUAGCUGACUUUUGUUCAAAAGGGGGAACAGUGCCGAUUUUGGGUAGUAUUCACAGACUGUAUAUAGAACGGACAGAGUCCGCCUCCUCGCUGGCUGAAAUCACUCCGAGAACAGCACCCUCUGGUGACAGGCUGCAGUAUAGGUUGUAAAUCCCGCCUCCGCCAGUCAUCCUUAUGGAGCUGUGGACAAACUUUAGAAAUUUAUUACACAGAAUAAAAUUUUUUCUCCCCCCGUGGUUGCGAUGUUGACAUGUAGUUACUGUAAGACUGGUUUGUGUUCAAGUCCUCUUUUUUCUGUGCAGCUCAAUUUUAAAAAGUUAUUAGGGGGUUCAUGUUUUCUAUGAUUGACACUUGAUACAGCCUAUAGGCGUACGAAGGUUGCGUAGCUCAUCGGGGGGAUUCGCUGUUUGAGCCGAGUGUCAUCACAGCGACUCUCGGCGACUCUCCCACCGAAUGCGUACAAUGCUACUGCACAAUGUUGGUUUCAGGAAAUGGAGAAAAAACGCGAUAUUAGCUUUUCGGCUUCGAUUCUGUAUACUGGUAGAAGGAAGAACCAAGUUGUCCAUAGUAUAAACAGUCUAUGGUACUACUCCUUUAUCUUGUACCUGCUUUAGUUCUCAUUUGACAUGGCUCCUUUUGUUCACUGUCAUCUUUUAUGUCCCGUGUUUUCCUAAUUUCUUUGCACGUUUUUUUAUUCCACAGCACUUUGAACAAAUCUGAAGUGACUCAGUUUGAAAAAGUCGAGUUACACUGAACUGUUACAGCAGACUUAACCACAAACACACUUGAAGAGGCAGCGAUUAGAAAUAAAACACUGAUACCUUUUGUUUUAAGGUCGGGAUAUGAAUAUAAAACCAGCAGUCAUCUCCUCUGUCAUGUCAGUCUAACAGGCUGUUAUUGUGCCGUUUAGCCGACAUUCGUGAAAUCUGACAUUAUGAACAGACAGGAGCUCUUGUAGUCUGAACUUUUACCACGGCAGCUGAAUAAUGAUGAGCACGAACAUCGAUCCAACCCACUGAGGAAAUGUUUGCCGCAUUUGAAUGCAAACCCACAACCUCAUGUAUGUUUCUCUCCUACUGUUGCUUCAUUUACACUUUAAUUCCUCCUCCUCUUCAUCACGGCACCUCUGUGUAUUUUCCACAGUUUCUUCUUCUCUUUGUGAAGUUGGUGUUGAGAUAAACUUGUGACAGCAGAAGAGAAGCAGUCAGAGCUGUCAGCACUCUUUUCUGUGUGUGUGUGUGUGUGUGUGUGUGUGUGUGUGUGUGUGUGUGUGUGUGUGUGUGUGUGUGUGUGUGUGUCAGACAGCAUGGUUCUGCUUCAAAGACCAUUUUGUGUCAAUGGGUGUGUCAUGACGGAUUUUUGUCAGCCCCCCUGUGGUGGUAUGAGACUUCCUGAGUGUGUAGCAAGCCAGGGUGUUAUCUGUGUGUGUGUGUGUUUGUGUGUGUGUGUGUGUGUGUGUGCGUGUGUGUGUGUGUGUGUGUGUGUGUGUGUGUGUGUGUGUGUGUGUGUGUGUGGGAGCUGACUCAGUUCCUCGGGGUAGAUCCCUGAAGCUCGGCUGUCAGACUGUGUUUUUCUUCGCUGGUCUUUUGUGCUCUUCUUCUUCUCUUACUGUACGUCUGCUUCUGUAAAUCUGUUCAAGAGGAGACGUCAUCCCAAACUUCAACGUUUGUCCUCCAAUUAUUCAAAGUUUUGAACUUCAAAAACUGCAGCUAUAAAACAGCUGAAGAAAUAUUUGCUGCAGGAUUCUAGUUAACUCUUUAAAAGUUGAGUUUAUGUCAUCAUCAGUGAGAAAAAUGAAGAAAUAUUGAGCACGAAAAGUCGACUUAUUGCAUAAUAAGAAGUAAAACGUGCUUCAUGAUGUUCAGAUAAUGACCCUGAAGUUAGUCUCGGCAUAAUCACACACCUGAACCUCGUACCUGGAUCACUGCAGGGGUUUCACACCAAUCAGCUCGGCUCUGCAGCUGCAGAUUUAAUGGUUUUACAAUCUCCAACCAGAAAUGAAGAACUAGCCUGGGACAUCUGCAGCUGAAGGGAGGAAAUGAGUGAUAGACUGAACAUUAUUUUAUCAUCUGAGAUCAGGGAGUUUAACUUUCUUCUUUUGUUCUGGAUUUGAAAACUUUUUCUUUUAAAUUGUAUCGUUUCAAACAAGGGUAGAGGUCAGAAACCUUUCUGUGAAAAGAGCCAAACUCCAGCCUUGAGACUGACACCACGCUCUCCGCUGUGCAGGAUCACCUCAUGUGAGUUCGCCACCAUUGAGGUUUCACUUGUUAGUAAUGUAUUUAAGUGUUCUUGUGUUACCAAAAUUUAAAAAAUCUCAACAGACUCUCGAGUUCUUAUACAUGUAAGUUUUAUAGGCACUUUUCAGCACUUAACUUUUUCAUCAGACAGUGUAACAUAUCCGUACUACUCUGCCUGCAGUUGUACCUUUGUUUUGUUGCACUACUAUCAUGAUCACUUUUUGUUUUAAGUAGCAGUUAAGGUCUUUUGCUAUCAACAGCUAGGUCUGACUCCGCCCCUCAGUUGCCGUAGCUAGCAGGAAUAUCAACUCAACAUGAUAAAAGCUGAUGGUACAAGAAAGAACUACACAGCUGCACAAAAACUGCACAUUGCUGAAUAUGUUGGAAAUCAUCACGCAAGAAGACAGUUUCAACAUUUUUACCUCUGAGAGAUCAUGAGAAAGAGAGUGCUGUCCCCAAGUGACUCGUAUUACAGAAUUUACGGUAAAUUUUGUACCUCAAAGAAGAGGCCAAUGCUCAGUGCUGCAACAGCAUUUUACUCAUGCAGAGUUAGCUUACUUAUGUAAUCCUGCUGAAAAGAAUUUUUUGUAUAAUUCAUAUUUGUCUUGAUUUUAUAAAAACUUUAUUUCAUCCUCAGUCUUUUACACUGCAGAAAAACUUCAUCAGCUGCAGCGAUCUGAGAGUCAAACAGGCAGAGAGCGGGUUGGAUAAAGGCAGAAAGUUAUUAUUAAAAUGUUGUUGGAUGAACCGUGUGUGUGUGUGUGUGUGUGUGUGUGUGUGUGUGUGUGUGUGUGUGUGUGUGUGUGUGUGUGUGUGCUGGACAACUCAGCAUUAAAUCUCAUUAGGAAGUGAGGAUGAGAGAGCUGGUCUGCUGCCCGAGGAGACACACACACACACACACACACACACACACACACACACACACACACACACACACACACACACACACACACACACACACACACACACUCUGAUCCAGCCAUGCACGAAUUAUACAGAGUUCAACACACUUAUACAUCCUGGCAUUCAGAUGCUGCAGGGGUCCAUUUAGAGUGAAACAUCCCAUAAUUAGGGUGUGUCCGUUUCCAUGGCGAUGAAUAAUACAGUGCUUUUGGUAAAGAAAUCAAUUCACGUAUGUAUCUGAAUGUCUACUACUCAGGGCAGAGUCAGAGAGCCAUUUUAAAGUGAAUUUGGUCAAUUUUGCUUCAUUUUUAUCAGUUUCACACUCGACUUUCUUUUACCUUUUAAUUAUUUUUUUUAAAAAAUCAUGUUUUUUUUUUAAACAAACUGCAAUUUGUUAUGGUGAGCAAAAAUUAGCAGUAAAUUGACAAACUAGAAAACUGUUCACAGAAUACAUUGGAAAAGAAAGAAAACAGUAGCUGUUAACCCUCAGCCAACUUUGUAUUCCGCUUCCUGUUUUACAUCUUUUGUUGGUUUGACACCAAAUUUCCUCAGCUGUUCAUGGUGUUCUCUGCCAAGUUUGAGUUGUAAUCUAGUCAGAGUCCAAAUAAAUGAAAAGAAAUGAGACUGAAGCCUUUUGAAGGAGAUUAAUGUCAGCAGGGGGAACACAAAGGGUGGCUUUGAGGUUCCCAAUGCCCACAAAUUUAAUCUUAAAAACCUUCAAUUCCUACCUAUUAAAACCCAAAGUGGCUUAACAAAUUAUGUAUUAUGUUUGCAUUCAUUCUCCCACAGCUGGUCAUUAUUCUAUUUUAAUUUCAAAGUAUGUUUACUAUCCCAAUCCCCUCAGGAGUAGGCCAGUGGUUUAUUCGUUAAGUUCUCACCAAAGUAGUCUGGGUCAAACUGAGUUUUUGGCGAUUCUGUCACAAUCCCUGCUGGGAACUUUUAUUUAACAUAAGACUGUCUUUUUGUGUUCUAGAUCCAAUUUUUGGACCCAGGAGAACAUCAUAAAAAGGGGCUUUUUUAACCCACGGUUUCUGUUAAUUUUAAGCAUCAUCCAGCCUACUUUGUCCCCAAAC